This 497-nucleotide ribosomal RNA is filed under the name uncultured bacterium. RNAcentral's name for it is "partial 16S ribosomal RNA". It matches the Rfam family "Bacterial small subunit ribosomal RNA", at positions 28 to 507 of the family's 1533-position model. The record is from RNAcentral.
GAUGAACGCUGGCGGCGUGCCUAAUACAUGCAAGUCGAGCGAACGGACGAGAAGCUUGCUUCUCUGAUGGUAGCGGCGGACGGGGGAGUAACACGUGGAUAACCUACCUAUAAGACUGGGAUAACUUCGGGAAACCGGAGCUAAUACCAGAUGAUAUUUUGAACCGCAUGGUUCAAAAGUGAAAGACGGUCUUGCUGUCACUUAUAGAUGGAUCCGCGCUGCAUUAGCUAGUUGGUAAGGUAACGGCUUACCAAGGCAACGAUGCAUAGCCGACCUGAGAGGGGGAUCGGCCACACUGGAACUGAGACGCGGUCCAGACUCCUACGGGAGGCAGCAGUAGGGAAUCUUCCGCAAUGGGCGAAAGCCUGACGGAGCAACGCCGCGUGAGUGAUGAAGGUCUUCGGAUCGUAAAACUCUGUUAUUAGGGAAGAACAUAUGUGGAAGUAACUGUGCACAGCUUGACGGUACCUAAUCAGAAAGCCACGGCUAACUACGUG